CUACGGGAGGCAGCAGUGAGGAAUAUUGGACAAUGGGCGCAAGCCUGAUCCAGCCAUGCCGCGUGAGUGUUGAAGGCCUUAGGGUUGUAAAGCUCUUUCAGUAGGGACGAUAAUGACGGUACCUACAGAAGAAGCCCCGGCUAACUUCGUGCCAGCAGCCGCGGUAAUACGAAGGGGGCUAGCGUUGUUCGGAUUUACUGGGCGUAAAGCGCACGUAGGCGGAUUGUUAAGUGAGGGGUGAAAUCCCAGGACUCAACCCUGGAACUGCCUUUCAUACUGGCAAUCUAGAGUCCGGAAGAGGUGAGUGGAACUCCUAGUGUAGAGGUGGAAUUCGUAGAUAUUAGGAAGAACACCAGUGGCGAAGGCGGCUCACUGGUCCGGUACUGACGCUGAGGUGCGAAAGCGUGGGGAGCAAACAGGAUUAGAUACCCGAGU
RNAcentral lists this ribosomal RNA (435 nucleotides) under uncultured bacterium. RNAcentral's name for it is "bacterial SSU rRNA". It matches the Rfam family "Bacterial small subunit ribosomal RNA", at positions 339 to 791 of the family's 1533-position model. The record is from RNAcentral.